AAUGGCGGAAGAGCAUGUAAAGAAAUAUUCAAAGUCCUUAGUCAUCAGGGAAUGCAAAUCAAAACAACUCUGAGAUUCCACCUUAAACUCAUCACACCGACCGAGAUGAAAAUCUCAAAGGACAGCACAUGCUGGCAAGGUUGUGGAGCAAAGGGAACACUCCCCCACUGCUGAUGAGAGUGCAAACUUGUUCAACCACUCUGGAAAUCCAUGUGGCGGUUUCUCACAAAACUGGGAAGAGCUCUACUUCAAGACCCAGCUGUACCACUCCUGGACAUAUACCCAAAAGAUCUCUCACCACCCCACAAAGACACAUGGUCAACUAUGUUCAUAGCAGCUGUAUUUCUAAUAACUGGAAACCACCUAGAUGUCCCUCAAGAAUGGACAAAGAAAAUGUGGUCCGUUUGCACAUUGGAAUACGACUCAGAUGAAGUCUUCAUGGCACCAAUAUGACAGAGAGACACAAGACAGCUUGGAAGACUGUGGCUGCUUCUCAUAGAAAAGGUAGUUUAAAGAGCUCCAGAGGCAGCUUCCAGUGUAUAGCCAGAUUAAUUCAGAGUCAAGGUGUUUCACGUGCUUUUUAUUCACUCACAUGCGCACAUCUUACGGGUGCACACACAUAGGAUAAAGGGAGUAUGUUUAAAACAUUUGCUCUAAGGUUAGUAUGCAUCUCUACUCUGGAACUAUUUAUGAAUAGCACUUGUGUUAAAGCUCUCUCAAAAACUACUUCACAUUUUUCUUGUGAGAUACUAAGAAGGCCAUGAAGAUCAAUCAAGGCUUUAAUUGUUAAGAGAGCAUGUUGCUCCUAAACCAAAGGAACAUUUGAAGCAGAAAAUUCAUGAAUAUCGGCAAUAAAUGAAAGAAAGAGUCAGCACUCUGCAAAGCCCUUAUUAAAUAUUCAACUGCUUUAAUAGGCAUAGGGACUCUGGCCCUAACAGUGGCAAAUAAUCAUGUUCUUUUAGUUAUUCAUGAUAUUUCCAGGUUGGAUAAUGACUCUUGCCUGCCCACUCAAAAUCUUCACCAGCACCAUGCAUCACCUCCUGACAUACACACAUCUUCUCACAGAGACAUGCUACCCUUCGUAAACAUUGCUAUGACCUUGGGAACUUUAAAAACAUACAAUUGUGCCAAGCCAAGUGUUCUGAUUCUUUUGAAGUGAAUUUUAAACUGUCCUGGUGAUGAGGGUCUGCCUAGAACUACCAUAGCUCUCUGGCAUUUAUGAUAACCAAAUGCUUUCAAAUCUGCCUAAGGCCUAGUGAUCCACAGCUGUGGGAAUAAUAGCCAACAUGUGAUAGAUGAGUUUUUACAGCUACAUGAGACAUAACAUGAAUAAUAAUAAAAAGUCCCUGUUUCUAGUCACUUAGAGAACUAGUUACAUAAACAAAACUGUGUAGGUUGGCAAAAAUGUCUUGAAGGGUUUUCCUCACUUGCUGAGUUUACCUCAUAAUGUGACCACAAAAAGGCCUGCACAUUUAAAGGAGCUACUAAAAUUUAGCAAUGUCCUCCUUUUUGUAUUAGAAACUAAUGUUCCCUUACAGUAUGGCAAGUGAUAGAGGCUUCCUUUCAAGAAAAUGAAACUAGUUUCUAGCUAAAUUUAUUGGAAUAAAAUGUGUGCAGUUUGAAAACGGAAAGCCUGAGGUGAUGCAUAUAAACACACAUGGGAUAGAAAACACACAUGGGAUAGAAGAUACACAUGGGACAGAAGACACACAUGGGAUAGAAGAUACACAUGGGAUAGAAGACACACAUGGGAUAGAAGACACACAUGGGAUAGAAGACACACAUGGGAUAGAAGACACACAUGGGAUAGAAGACACACAUGGGAUAGAAGACACACAUGGGAUAGAAGACACACAUGGGAUAGAAGACACACAUGGGAUAGAAGACACACAAGGGGUAGAAGAUACACAUGGGAUAGAAGACACACAUGGGAUAGAAGAUACACAUGGGAUAGAAGACACACAUGGGAUAGAAGACACACAUGGGAUAGAAGACACACAUGGGAUAGAAGACACACAAGGGGUAGAGGACACACAUGGGAUAGAAGACACACAUGCUUCUCUGGAUGCCUUUAAACUCAGCCAACAGACAUGUUAGGUCUGCUGAAAACAGCAAGACCGUUUCUGAAUGAAUAAAAGCCUUUGCCCUAAAAGGAGGAGCAGACCACCAAGGAAGCCCACUCUCAUCACUUAGAUUCAAUUGUACUGGAAAUGAUGGCCAAUAUAACCAGGCAAGAAAAAUGACAGUGAAUUCAUUCAGAUCAGAACAGAUGUCAUAAAAGUCACUCUAUUUACAGGUUAAGUGACCUACAUAUAUGCAAAACUUUCUGGGGGGGAAAAAAACUCUUAAAACUAAGCAGCAGCUUCUGACAGUUUGCCAGGCAUAAGAUGAAUAUUCAUAAUCUUUGCAUUAUAAUAUAUUAAGACAGUCAAAUAGCCAGUGAGGUAAGUGAGAAGAUAAACCUAUUCGUGGUAGCAUUCAGAUCUAAAACAUUUGAGCUAUUUGUAAUGAAAUGCAUGAAAAUUUGAAAACUAACAAAGUUGUGCUAAUAUAAAGAUACUGUGUUCCUGAAACGUGUUCAGGAAACACAUUUCUUGAAACAGCUAAGGUAUUGUCUGUCUACAUUUGUAAAUUAUUCAGUCUUCAAGAUAAAAUUACAGUGGGUUUUUAUUUCUUUCAUAGAAACUGUCAGGUCCUUUCUUAAAACAAUAGGAAAGUGCAGAGAAAUAACUUUAUCAGGGCUUAAAAUAUCUUUAGAAAAGAAUAAACUUGCAGAACAAA
Rattus norvegicus (Norway rat) is the source of this 2781-nucleotide non-coding RNA. The record is from RefSeq and is a predicted model, not a curated record. NCBI's taxonomy places the organism in Eukaryota, Metazoa, Chordata, Mammalia, Rodentia, Muridae.